Molecule: long non-coding RNA, 700 nt
Organism: Micropterus dolomieu (smallmouth bass)
Lineage: Eukaryota; Metazoa; Chordata; Actinopteri; Centrarchiformes; Centrarchidae
Exons: 3
Source: RefSeq, a predicted model, not a curated record
UGUGGAUCUUGUGUUUGUCUCUAGUUUCUCCAGUGUUUAUCGUGCUUCUCAUGCCCUUGUGGAUUUAUACCUUUUGUUGGACCUUUGGAUUUUCAGUGCGCAGUGCUUUUGGACUGAUCACACCUAACCACCUUGAAGGCCUGAAAGACACCGCUACCAGACCAUUUUCUCUUUCUUUAAGGGCAAAGAAGAACAACUUGGCUUGAUGAUGUUUCCCAAGAGAUCUUUCAGAGGAUACAAGAGAAGCAAUUCACAACUACACUGCACAUCUACUCCCCCAAGCCCUAUGACUACGUUGAGAGUUUGUUUGGCUCAUCCGCACACCAUGCUCAUAAUGUUAUGGUAGCAUUUUGCACAUCCUGAAUUUAGUGUAGCUUCAUUCACAGCUUUAAAAAGGCUUGUUGCUGAGAAGCAGGAAAAGAAACAGUUUGCUCAUCGAUGAUGGAUGUACAUUCAUAAGCAAAGUGAGUUUGACCAGGACAAGAUUUAUGGCUUUGUUGACACUGAUGCUGGUGAGACAAGCACUGGUCCUCAUGGUUGUUGCAAUCAAUGAGUCUUGAAAGAUUCCCAUUGCUUACUUUCCUAUCCACCUGAUGACAGGAGCAGAGAGAGCAAACAUAAUCCGAGAGAGCCUUUUUAGGCUUCAUGCAACCGGAGACAGGGUUGUCUUCUUGACGUAUGAUGGACCCUCCCAAAACUU